GCUGGGCGUGGUGGCAUACACCUGUAUUCCCAGGGCCUUGGGAGGCUGAGACAGGAGGAUCUCAGUUCAAAGCCAACCUCAGCAAUGGAGAGGCACUCAGUAAGACCCUGUCUCUA
Molecule: small RNA, 116 nt
Filed under: Marmota monax (woodchuck)
Lineage: Eukaryota; Metazoa; Chordata; Mammalia; Rodentia; Sciuridae
Source: RNAcentral